Long non-coding RNA from Lotus japonicus, 2441 nucleotides. RefSeq lists it as uncharacterized. The transcript has 5 exons. NCBI's taxonomy places the organism in Eukaryota, Viridiplantae, Streptophyta, Magnoliopsida, Fabales, Fabaceae. The record is from RefSeq and is a predicted model, not a curated record.
UUUCCUUCUCCCUAGUCCCUCCCACUCUCCAACUUUUUUCAGAGAAAAAACCCUAAACCCUCGAUCGGUUCUCUCUACGUUCCCUCUCCCUCCCACUCGAUCUCCAUCGAUUUGUUCUCUCAAAUUCCAUCUCUCGUUCGACACCCUCGAUCUAUUCUCUCCCAUUCACUCUCCAUCGAUUCGCACUGACUCCCUCUCGUUCGACGCGUCUCUGCGUUCCCUCGGCGCUACUCGCAUUCAGCAACUCCUCAAGGUACAAUCUCUGCUUCUCAAUCUCCCGCGCUCCUCCCACUUCUUGAAUCCUCGCCAUCCGCAUAAGCAACAACAAAGAGUGGUGCAGAUUCUCUGGUAUUCAAGCCUGUGGGUUCUUUUUCUUGGAAUUUUUUGGAACUAAUCUUGCAAAUCAUCGCGUGACUGAAUUAUUUGACUGCCGCGGAAUGGGUUGUGUUCUUGGGAAUUUUCAGAUGGAGAGUGGUAGGACUCACCCUGUGCUGCUUGCAAGAUCCUACGUAGAAGUUGCACUCAGAAUUGUGUUCACUGCUCCCUAUUUCACUGAACACGAGCCCCACAAAUUUGCAAAUGUGGACACCAAUGCCAUCAAGAUGCUGCAGAAUUGUACAUGAUGAAUUGGGUGUGAUGAUAUGUUCCUCCUAAACAAGUUAUGGAUGAUUACAGUUGGUUGGAUGGAUAUCAUUAUACUUCAUCAACCAAAGAUAUAGGCCCCAAUAGUACUCUUACUUACUCUCAGUCAAAUCCUCAACAAGUCAGUAGCAAUGGAUUGAGUGGGUCAGUCUGCUUUCCCUUUCCUGGAAAACAAGUUUCAUCUGCACUGCAGGGGGGAAAACAGUAUGGUUGGCAAGAUCAUCAUACUUUUGAGCUUUUAAAAGCACACCAGAAUCAACAGCUGCAGCCACAACAACCACUCACAAUAGAAAAUCAGCAUUCCACUCAACUGCCUGAGCAAUUUCAAGGACAGUCAAUCUGGACUAGUCAUUCCUUUGUGUGAUAUCAGUAUAAGAAUAUUGAUGGUCCUUGAAGGAUUAUUACAAAUGUGCCAUGCCUUCUCUGCCCAUUCAAACUCCUAUUCUGAUGGCUUGUCAUUGAAUGUUGUUGGAGUUUUUUAGCCUAGACUUGGUUCCAGGAACUUGAUACCUCAUAAGGUGAGUUCCAAAUUAUUCUUCGCACUGAUAAUAUCUGUAUUCUGUAGUGAACACAGCUUGAAAUUUGGACAAUCUUGUAUGUCAAACUUAUCCACUUUCAUUGAAUUUUAGAAUUCCCAUCUCGUGUUAUACCUGACUGAAUGGGAUACUGCUUUUGUUUUAGCCUGUCUUAUAUACUACUAUCUUCUACAAUAUUGCUGGUUUGAAGUCUCAAGUAUCAUGGCCUUGAUACUUGAUAGUGGUUGUGUUUGUGGUUAAUUUUACAGGAGCUGAACUUGGGGAGGAAAAGGGUUAGUUGAGUUCAUUUCUUUACACUUUGCAGCAUGCCUAGUUACUUGUUUUUGAACAAGCAUUUUUUUUUAACUUUAUGGUUACUUGUGUUUCAGAUAAAAUCACUUCAACAUGAACUUUUGUGGAGGAAAGGGAAGGAUUUGAGUGUCCAAAUGAGGGAGUUGUUGUGAAAUGUGAUUUAUCAUUACCUUGAAUGAUGAUUUUUCAUUUGUUAAUGGAUGAUUGUGCACAGCUACUGAUAUUUUUUUUUCAACCUCAUUUUUAUGGAUAUGUUUGACAUGAUGACAGUUUGGAGAUGACUGAAAGAAAUCUUAUUAACAAUUCUGGUCAAUAAUUGUAUAUUUUUGUCAUUCAUCGGAUGUCUGCACAAGUCAUAAAUCUACAAUUUAUGUGUUUAAUGAUUUUCAAUGUAUUCUAAUUAUGACAUAUCAGAAAAGUUAUGAAUGCAGUGAAAUGGAAGACUUGGAUGGUUCAGAUAAAAGCUCUUUUAAUUGUUCUUUCUACCUUUGUUUCAGUUUUGUCAGGAAUGUCCCUCAUGCAGUUGGUGAGCCAAAGCCAUAAUGAAGAUCAAAUCAUCAAAUAUGUUAAGGCUUUGGAUGAGGGAAGCCUUUACUUGGUACUCUACUAAAUUCAGUCACAUCAUUUGGUUUCUAGUUAGAUGAAAUUCAGUUACAUCUUUGAUUAGAAAGACUAAAUUGCAUCCACUCUUCUUGAUUGAAGAAGGAUAUAUAACAAACUGGCUUGAAGCUUCUUAUAUGAAGAGGUGAUUUUUUGUAUAUACUUCAUUGCAUUUUCAUAUUUGGCCAGGACUUUCCACGAUAUUGGCCCAAGAGUAGUUUUUAUAGCUCACUUGAGAGAGUAUGUUCUCAAGAACAAUUAGUUAUCAAUAUUAUUAGUAUUGUUUUGGACAAAUUAUUGAAGUGGGUUCAGUAUUGUUAUUCUCUUGGCUGGAAUAUUUGAAUGUAGGUUCUUUUGGCUGGAAUAUGUGAA